CCUACGGGUGACAGCAGUGAGGAAUAUUCGUCAAUGGACGAGAGUCUGAACCAGCAAAGUAGCGUGAAGGAUGACUGCCCUAUGGGCUGUAAACUUCUUUUAUAUGGGAAUAAAAUGGUCCACGUGUGGGAUUUUGUAUGUACCAUAUGUAUACGGAUCGGCUAACUCCGUGCCAGCCGCCGCGGUAAUACGGAGGAUCCGAGCGUUAUCCGGAUUUAUUGGGUUUAAAGGGAGCGUAGGUGGAUUGUUAAGUCAGUUGUGAAAGUUUGCGGCUCAACCGGAAAAUUGCAGUUGAAACUGGCAGUCUUGAGUACAGUAGAGGUGGGCGGAAUUCGUUGUGUAGCGGUGAAAUGCUUAGAUAUCACGAAGAACUCCGAUUGCGAAGGCAGCUCACUGGUCUGCAACUGACACUGAGGCUCGAAAGUGUGGGUAUCAAACAGGAUUAGAUACCCUGGUAGUC
RNAcentral lists this ribosomal RNA (460 nucleotides) under uncultured bacterium. RNAcentral describes it as "partial 16S ribosomal RNA". It matches the Rfam family "Bacterial small subunit ribosomal RNA", at positions 338 to 795 of the family's 1533-position model. The record is from RNAcentral.